CAGCAGUCGCCACGGGAAAACGAGGGGUGCAGGCGUUAUUCGGAUUGAUUGGGUGUAAAGGGUGUGCAGACGGCUUAUUAAGUCACUUGUUAAAUUCUUCGGCCUAACUGAAGGUCUGCAAGUGAUACUGAUGAGCUAGAGGGUGGAAGAGAGAAGUGGAAUUCUCGGAGUAGCGGUAAAAUGCGUAGAUCUCGAGAGGAACACCAAUGGCGAAGGCAGCUUCUUGGUCCACUCCUGACGUUCAUACACGAAAGCGUGGGGAGCAAACAGGAUUAGAUACCCCCGUAGUCCCUGUCUCUUAUAC
This 304-nucleotide ribosomal RNA is filed under the name uncultured bacterium. RNAcentral's name for it is "partial 16S ribosomal RNA". It matches the Rfam family "Bacterial small subunit ribosomal RNA", at positions 506 to 807 of the family's 1533-position model. The record is from RNAcentral.